Molecule: ribosomal RNA, 301 nt
Filed under: uncultured bacterium
Lineage: Bacteria
Description: partial 16S ribosomal RNA
Rfam family: Bacterial small subunit ribosomal RNA
Source: RNAcentral
CAGUCGCCGCGGUAAUACGAAGGGGGCUAGCGUUGCUCGGAAUUACUGGGCGUAAAGGGAGCGUAGGCGGACAUUUAAGUCAGGGGUGAAAUCCCAGAGCUCAACUCUGGAACUGCCUUUGAUACUGGGUGUCUUGAGUGUGAUAGAGGUAUGUGGAACUCCGAGUGUAGAGGUGAAAUUCGUAGAUAUUCGGAAGAACACCAGUGGCGAAGGCGACAUACUGGAUCAUUACUGACGCUGAGGCUCGAAAGCGUGGGGAGCAAACAGGAUUAGAGACCCCAGUAGUCCCUGUCUCUUAUAC